Physeter macrocephalus (sperm whale) is the source of this 723-nucleotide long non-coding RNA. RefSeq lists it as uncharacterized. The transcript is spliced from 3 exons. NCBI's taxonomy places the organism in Eukaryota, Metazoa, Chordata, Mammalia, Artiodactyla, Physeteridae. The record is from RefSeq and is a predicted model, not a curated record.
UGUGUUUCAUAUUUUAUUUACAUUAACUAUUUAGUAAAGUAUAUAUGUUUCUUAUUCUAUUGUAGGUGUCUGGGCAUUCUCAUACUUUUCCUCGUCUUUAUGCAGGCUGAAGUUAAAAAACAAACAAACAAACAUUUCUUCUGCCACUGUAAAGGCACAUAGGGGAUUCAGGUGAACCUCAAACAAUAGUUUCACCGAAUGUUCUGGUGCCCAGAGCAGACAUGACAGGAUGAUUUGUGGAAGAAGAGGAGGGAGCAAUGAUCACAGAAUGUAAAUGCUAAGAAACUGAGGUCCAGAGCCACAGAGUGCCUUCUGCAAACAUAAAGAAGAAUCCUGUUUGCUAAACUCUUUGGGCCAUGAUGAUUCAUAGUACAGGUGGUGGAAUUUGGUAUGUAUUUGUGUGUGUGUCUCUGUGCACACAUAUUUAUGUUUAUGCUUGCAAGUACUUUGUCAGAAUGAAAUGUUUAGGCUACACUUACUACCCACCUGAUUUUAAUUAGUGUUACCAGAUAUUUACUGAAAUCAUCAAAGUUUUUAAUUUAGAGAUAAUUUGGCAAAGGGCAAUUUGCUGCUAUUUACAUUUAAAUAGAUGUGAAAAAAUGCACUGAUGUUUUCUCAGACAGACCCCAGGGCAGUUUCAUGUUCAAGCUCUGGAAGACCUGCUCCCCUUGAAUGUGGGAGGGACCUGUUACUUGCUUCCAACCAAUAAUAUAACAAAAGUGG